Molecule: RNA transcript, 7346 nt
Organism: Phyllopteryx taeniolatus (common seadragon)
Lineage: Eukaryota; Metazoa; Chordata; Actinopteri; Syngnathiformes; Syngnathidae
Gene: tfcp2
Gene name: transcription factor CP2
Exons: 18
Source: RefSeq, a predicted model, not a curated record
AGAUAGCGAGGGUGGAGGACUUUAAAUACUUGGUGUCAACAGUCCAGAGCAAUGGUGAGUGCGGUAAGGAAGUGAUGAAACGGGUCCAAGCAGGUUGGAACAGGUGGAGGAAGGUGUCAGGUGUGUUAUGUGACAGAAGAGUUUCUGCUAGGAUUAAGGGCAAAGUUUAUACGACAGUGGUGAGGCCAGUCAUGAGACCAUGGCACUGAAGAGGCAACAGGAAGCAGAGCUGGAGGUGGCGCAAAUGAAGACGUUGAGGUUCUCUCUAGGAGUGAGCAGGUUGGAUAAAAUUAGAAAGGAGCUCGUCAGAGGGACGGCCAAGGUUAGAUGCUUUGGAGACAGUUUGGAGAGAGCAGACUUCGAUGGUUUGGACACGUCCAGAGGAGAGAGAGUGGCUAUAUUGGUAGAAGGAUGAUGAGGAUGGAGAUGCCAGGUCAGUGAGCUUGAGGAAGACCAAAGAGAAGACAGAUAUAUGAAGCGAGGGAAGACAUGAGAGCAGUUGGCGUUUGAGAGGAGGAUGUAAAGAAAGAGGAAGAUGAUACAUUUUAUCAGCAUAAGCGGUAUGCAAAAUGGAUGAAUGGUUGGAUUUUAGGGGAAAAUUGGUCAAUGAAUGUAGCAAAUAUUGGGGUUUUUGAUAAUGUAAAUAAACAGUAUGUGGGAUAAAAGAUGCAUAUCGACAAACUAACAUUCGCACCUGUGUCAAAUUUAGAUCCUUCAGUUAACCCAACAUGCAUGUUUUAUGAAUGUGGUAGUAAGCAUGAGUACCUGAAGAAAACCCACGCCUGACGGAGAUAACACGCAAACACUUGUUCCUGUGUGGAACUAUUUAAUAACUUCCAACCGGUAGGUGGCAGCAUUGUGUUUAAAAAAAUAACACGAAGAAGCUAUGUACGGAAAUUACGACAGCUACGUUUUCCAAGCUUGAUAAAUAAACAAAAGGAACAUAAAUUCCAUAUUUAGUUUACGGCCUAUUUUGGCUGAUUCCCGGUUAAAGAAUGCGUGUUGUGAAAUAUAUUGUGGUGUUGUCGUGAAACCUCCUGAACAAUUGUUAGCAUCGCCGUGGCUAGCAUGACUAGCUCGACAUGUUUAUUUUAGUACUGGAGCGACGGCGCACGGCAUGAUGGCAUGAAAACCUCGCACUCUUAGCAAGCAGCUACGUUUCCUUUUCGCCGUAAGGUUGAAACUUGCAAGUCUCGAGUUGAGUGUGCUGUCAGAACCGAACCCCAUUGAGAUCUGUAAGCAGUCAUCAUGGCCUGGGCUCUGAAGUUGCCGCUCUCCGACGAAGUGAUUGAGUCCGGACUGGUCCAGGACUUUGAUGCCAGCCUGUCGGGCAUCGGCCAGGAGCUUGGUGCUGGGGCAUACAGCAUGAGCGACGUACUUGCCCUGCCUAUCUUCAAACAAGAGGAGUCCAACUUGCCUCCUGACACCGACAAGAUCCUUCCCUUCCAGUAUGUUCUGUGUGCUGCUACCUCGCCAGCCGUUAAACUGCAUGAUGAAACACUCACCUACCUCAAUCAAGGGCAGUCCUAUGAAAUUAUCAUGCUUGAUAAUCGGAAAAUUGGUGAACUUCCGGAAAUCUCUGGUAAAAUGGUUAAGAGCAUCAUUCGCGUGGUGUUUCACGACCGCCGACUUCAGUACACAGAGCACCAACAGCUGGAGGGUUGGCGCUGGAACAGGCCCGGGGAUCGCAUUCUGGACCUGGAUAUCCCCAUGUCAGUUGGCAUUAUCGACCCACGGGCUAACCCUACUCAGCUUAACACUGUGGAGUUCCUAUGGGAACCGUCAAAAAGAACCUCAGUUUUUAUCCAGGUUCACUGCAUCAGCACAGAAUUUACCAUGCGUAAACACGGCGGGGAAAAAGGGGUUCCCUUUCGCAUCCAGAUCGACACGUUCAAAGAGAACGAGAGCAGCGAGUACACCGAGCACCUCCACUCCGCCUCCUGUCAGGUCAAAGUUUUCAAGCCGAAAGGUGCGGAUAGAAAGCAGAAGACUGAUAGGGAGAAGAUGGAGAAAAGGGCACCACAGGAGAAGGAGAAAUACCAGGCCUCGUAUGAAACUACAAUCCUCACAGAGUGUUCCCCCUGGCCCGAGGUCCCCUAUGUAAACAACUCUCCAUCACCGGGCUUCAACAGCACGCAGAACAGCUUCCCAGUUGCAGAAGGAAACGGAUCACCAAACCACCAGCCUGAGCCUGUGGUUCAAGUAGCUGACAAUUUGUUACCUGCAGCGACGCCACAAGAUGCACAACAGUGGCUUCUCCGAAACCGCUUCUCGCCUUUCUCUCGGCUCUUCACCAACUUCUCAGGAGCAGACCUGUUGAAGCUGACCAGGGAAGAUGUCAUACAGAUCUGUGGCCCAGCAGACGGCAUACGACUAUUCAAUGCACUAAAAGGACGGGUGGUCCGUCCGAGGUUAACUAUCUACGUGUGCCAGGAGUCGCAGCAGGCACGCGAUCAGCAGACCAAACAUGAGAACGGAGAGGCUGCAAACAGCACUUUCUUUAACGAAUAUGCAAGCGCAUUGGCCAGAGGUUCCGCCUGUGCGCUUGGGACCUGCUUUGGACAAGUCACAGGACUUGACGAGACCAGAAAAAACACUUCCGCCGCUUCUGCUGUUAAGUAACUGUACUUUUACUCCGUUACAAUGAUCUAAAUGUCGCUCGCUACUUUAUCAGUUAUUCCUUAUUUAUCAACUAUUUUGUACGCGAGAUUCGCGCUUCCGCAUCGGGCACUGUUUGCGUCAAUCCAGUUUAAGCGCUAGUGACGUUUAAGUUUAGUUCACCAAUCAAACGACACAAAGUCACAUGACCUCAUACAUCUUCUGUUGGGCUUUCCGGGCAUAGCUAUUAACACUAGAUAAGCCAGCCCGGCUGAUUGUUGUGCCUACCAUGUGCCGGCCAUGUUGGGAAGGUCGUCGUUACCAUGAAGGCAACAACGAGCUACUCUUGUUUACAUUUAGACGAGCAAAAACAUUUGUCUGUCACUGUCUGGCCAAACGUGGAUAUUUCAGCUCACUUAUAACUUGAGAAAACACCGUGCAGUAAAUUGCAGAUGUGUUGUUGUAGUCUUGACUGUGCAUACACACACAGUAUCAGAAUUUGCACAUUCACAUUUUAUUUUGUAAUUUUUUAAAAUGUUCAUGCUGUGGUAAAAAAAAAAUAAUCAGAAGCUACUCACUAUUUACUCAGUAAUUAUUUCACUGUAUACUUUUUACUCUAGUAAUUUUUUUGAAGGACUCCUUUUUACUUGAGUCACUUUAUUGUCAAGUAACAGUACUCUUACUUGAGUACAGUAUUUGGCUACUCUACCAACCUGUGGAGCGGACAUCCUCUAUUGCUACUCUUACGUUUAAGCAAGGUUUUUCUCAUCAGAUCAGCUAGUGUCGUAUUUGUUGCACUGGUCUUUUCGUUGAAGUGCUGCGGGUCGUGGCCCGAGUUGCGAUCCCAGUGGAACUGCAAAGCACACGUAACAUUGGCGACAAGAGUUGAUCUGCUAGUAAAUCUUGUAUUAAUUAGGAAACGCUGCUACAAUUAUCUAAUUAGUUUACGGAUGUUAAUGUUAAAUGUAUUAAGCGAUGGAGCGAUCUUUUAUGUCAUGACACAGAAUGAACUAACUUCAAAUUCAGAAAUGGCCAAUAAAAACAGAAAAAUAUUGUACUUAAUACUUUCCCGGAGGAUGCAUUUGGGAUUAGCCUUUCAAGUUGGUAAUAGUGAAAAAUGUAGUGAAACAGACAAUGAUUUUAGUAAUUUCUUUUCCCAGAAUGAGAGUGCAUAAAGAGGACGAUGCUAUUCAUGUGGCACAGCUUGAAGCAGGCAUCAGGUGCAGGUGGAGAUAGGCCUGGCUGAAGUUGGAGGCCAGAACAUGAGGCAAAUUUAAUGUUAAUCUUAAAUUGAUACAUCAACAUGUAUUUGAGCCUUGUAAAUAAGUUUUUCUGCGUAAAGAAUUUAUUUAUUUUUAUUUUUAUUUUUUUGCCUUAUUGUACUUUUCAGUCUUCCAGAUUCCUUCAUUUAUGUUAAAGGUCAGAGGACAAAGAUGUUAAAAAUGUUCUUGAUAACUCUUGAACCACUUUACAAAUCACAUCUGCCAUUUCGAGGUGAUUAUAUAGCAGAUAUACAGCAGUUAAAUUGAUAAAUAUGAUUCAGAAUGCGCCUUCUGCUUUUUGCAUCUAGCGCCUUACGGUCUUCGUCUCUUUCCGGCGCUGUGAUGUAACACUAGCCAAACAACCUGAUCAUUCGGCGGUGUGUGCUAUUGUUCCAUGCUGUUGUUCCCAUCCAUGUAUAGUUGUUGUCGUAUCAAUCAGCGAUUUAAUGAUGGUUUAUUGUGUGGAAUUUGGUUGUACAAAUGGUUCAGGCAGGGACAAGAGUUUCUUUGGGUUUCCAAGUGAAAAAUGAAUAUGUGACCAGUGGAUAAGGAAAGUCAAUCGACGGGAAGAAAUGUGGUCACGUAUGGGUGCCUAGCAAGCAUUCCAAACUCUGUGAUGAUCACUUCGAACCGGUGUGUUUUGAGAAACAUUUUGCAGAAAGCAUUGGAUACACAGGUGUAGUUAGGCAGAGGCUGAAACCAGCUGUGGUGCCAACUAUUUUUCCUAUGGCCAUCGCGAACCUCAACCGCCAACAGGAGAACAAAAUCUUGCAGCGGCGAAGUGGCCCAGACAAGAGGUGAGAAUUUCCUUGUAUAUACACCUAUGACUCUUUUAUGGUUAUUAUGCACUGGGCGGUGGGGGAAAAAAAAGACCCACACAGUACUUUUCAGUACUGCCGUCUGUACAUUUGCCUAUAGGACAACCCAACAGACACGGCAAAGACUUUCUGUGCGGCGUGUUGUAAAGCUACUCGAGCGAGUGGCACACAAUGUAUAGGAAUACUGCAUACUAUGUAAAAGCUUGUACCGUGUCACUAAAACAUAUGAAUAUAUAAUACGUAUAGUUGUGCUCAAAAUAUUGGCACCCCUGGGGUGCCAUUAUUUCUAGUCAUGACUGAAAAUACAUGCUUUUUUUCCCCUCAACUAUCUGACCCAAUGAGCAUGCCUGUUAUAUUUUAUUGUAACAAAAGAAUCCCCCUCUCACUAUUCUGGCAUUUAGUGAAUAGACAUAAUUUUGGUAAUCCUAAAACAGGAAAAGUUAAGUCUGAUUUCAUGUCAGACAGUCAACAAAAAAAUUCUACCACAGUCCAAUCGCAACUGUGUGUGUAUCCAGGCUACGGUUGGCAAUAAGCCAGUCAGUACUCAAACAUCAUGGGUGAGUUGGAAUAUACCGUAAUAUACUGUAUUUAUCAAGUGCUUUGAUCAUUACCUCAAAUCAUCGCAAUCAUUACCUCCUCACUCACACAAGGUUUUCACAUUUUCAGUAUAAGCAAUAAUAUGGGACCCAAGUCACAUCGACUGAGCCAGAGGCAUAAAAAAAGUUCCAUGUGAGCUGGAUGAUUCCAUAUUAGACAGAAAUGUCGAAGAAGACGACUAGUCUCCUAGUGAUGAGGAUCAAUCUGAUGAUGAUGAUGAUGAUGACGACAUUGAAGAAGAAUGGAUUUCCUUGGAGAAGGAGUCCAUCGUUGAUGGAAACCCUAUUCGAAUUUGUUUUUGAAUCGUGCCUACGAGCACUCCUGGCAAUCUGUGCUGUCUGUUCCAGCCCAUGCUUGGUGGCUAUUAAAAAUAUGAGAGGAAGCCUUGCCGUGUUCAGAGCAACAUGCAGACAUGGUCACAUCCAAGAAUGGUACAGCCAACCAAUGUCAGGUUGUAUGCCUCCAGGUUAUUUGCUGGGUGCCAGUGCCAUCCUUUUUAGUGGCUGCAGUCCAAUGAAAGCGAUAAAUAUGCUCAAAAAUGUGAACAUAAUGACUUUUUCAAAGAGGACAUUCUGUCGUAUUCAGAAUGCUUACCUGCUUCCAACCGUCAACCUAGUUUGGGAAAGUCAACAGUCUUCCCUUCUGGAGGGAGUUCAGGGAAAACAGCUAACAGUUGGUGGUGAUGCAUGAUGCUGCUCUCCUGAGGACACGGCCAAAUAUGGUUCAUACACUGUUAUGAACCUUGAAGACUCACAGAUCUUGGACGCCCACUUGGUUACAGAGGUAAAGAACUCCCAUGCCAUGGAGUUGGAGGGCUUGAAGAAGUGCCAUGCCUUGUUACAGAGGAAAGGUGUCAUCAUGAAAAAGAGUGUGACAGACCGCCACUCUCAAAUUAAGACAUUUCUGAGGGAAACCCAUAAGGACCUUUGCCACUGGUUUGACUUUUGGCAUGUCGCAAAAAGUAGUCUUACCUCUGCGUUUGUCACUUUUGUUACUGUCCAUGCAAGUUUCAUUUUUUUAUAUUGAAGGACUAAUAAGACAAAGGUGUUUGAUGCACUGGACUAAUGAUUUCCUUUUCAGGAAUCAAGAAGGAGCUGAUGGCCCUUUCAAAAAAGGCUGGUUGCGAGGCGGUGUUGAAAUGGUCGCAGUCCAUCACCAAUCACAUAUAUAGAUUAGCAGCAUCAAGCAAAGGGAACAGUGAGGAAUGUCGGCAGAAGUGGAUGUCAAUCGCCAACAAUGUCUUGAAUGUUCACAAGGGCCAUGCUAAAGUAUUUCCAGAAUGUCUGCAUGAUGAACGGUUAGAGUAAAGAGAAUGGCUCAUAAAAGGGAAAGUGAAUCAAAUAAGCUUAUUGAAAGAUGAUUCUGAGUACUUCUCUUAAUUCUGUCCAUUGAUGUGUUCCAGGAUCAAAAGCACAUAAGGAACUGCUCAUAAUAGUAAAUAAUAUGCUGCUCAAAGACAUUGGCAUCUUAUUGCCUAUUCAACAAACAUCAAGCCUUGAAGCCUACCAUAAAGUAGUGCUGUAUUUUGCUCCAAAGGCCUCCCAUUUCUCACACAAGACAAUGAAAGCAAGGUUGCUUCUGUCAGCUUUAAAUUUCAAUGCAAACUGCAAAAGACGGCAAGCGCGAAGGAAGGAUGGGGAGCCACAGUGGAGCAUCUCUUACCCAAAAGGGAAGGAUGGUAAGCCAGUGGCAAAGGAGAUCAAGACUGUCCAGACGCUGCUGGAUAAAGUAAUGCAAAGGAGACAGAAAUUUCCAACCUUGGAGGUAGCUGGGGUAGAUGCAAGCGAGAUAUCUGUGCCACGAAAUGUUGAGAAAUAUGACGGGAUUGACGAGAUGCAGGUGGUAUGUGGGGAAAAAAAGAACGCACCAGGUUCAACAAAGUUCUGAUUUAAUUAGACUUAUCCACAAUAAUUGUCGUGUUCACUCUCCCACUGAGCACGUAUUCUACUAAGGAUCCCAAGGAUGGGAUAGAUGCAUCGUGUGAAUCGUCUGUAUGCAAUGUACCUGUAUGCAAUGUACCUGUAGAACCUGAAUGUUUAAAAAAAGAAUAAAGAAAAACAAGUCACUGAAA